RNAcentral lists this ribosomal RNA (253 nucleotides) under uncultured bacterium. Its description in RNAcentral is "partial 16S ribosomal RNA". It matches the Rfam family "Bacterial small subunit ribosomal RNA", at positions 524 to 776 of the family's 1533-position model. The record is from RNAcentral.
UACGAACUGUGCAAACGUUAUUCGGAAUCACUGGGCUUAAAGGGUGCGUAGGCGGCUGUCUAAGCAGGGUGUGAAAGCCCCCGGCUCAACCGGGGAAUUGCGUUCUGAACUGGACGGCUGGAGUGGGAUAGGGGUGUGUGGAACUUCCGGUGGAGCGGUGAAAUGUGUUGAUAUCGGAAGGAACGCCGGUGGCGAAAGCGACACACUGGGUCUCAACUGACGCUGAAGCACGAAAGCCAGGGGAGCGAACGGG